UACGUAGGUGGCAAGCGUUGUCCGGAAUUACUGGGCGUAAAGCGCGUGUAGGCGGCGCUGUAAGUCAGAUGUGAAAUCCCUUGGCUCAACCAAGGAAGUGCAUCUGAUACUGCGGUGCUGGAGUGUCGGAGGGGAUGGCGGAAUUCCCGGUGUAGAGGUGAAAUUCGUAGAUAUCGGGAGGAACACCUGUGGCGAAGGCGGCCAUCUGGACGACUACUGACGCUGAGACGCGAAAGCGUGGGGAGCAAACAGG
RNAcentral lists this ribosomal RNA (253 nucleotides) under uncultured bacterium. RNAcentral's name for it is "partial 16S ribosomal RNA". It matches the Rfam family "Bacterial small subunit ribosomal RNA", at positions 524 to 776 of the family's 1533-position model. The record is from RNAcentral.